GGGCGGGUGGCGGAACUGGUAGACGCGCCAGACUUAGGAUCUGGUAUCGCAAGGUGUGAGGGUUCGAGUCCCUCCUCGCCCAC
RNAcentral lists this transfer RNA (83 nucleotides) under Cystobacter fuscus. RNAcentral describes it as "tRNA-Leu". It matches the Rfam family "tRNA". From Rfam's summary of the family: Transfer RNA (tRNA) molecules are approximately 80 nucleotides in length. Lineage: Bacteria; Pseudomonadati; Myxococcota; Myxococcia; Myxococcales; Archangiaceae. The record is from RNAcentral.